Prionailurus viverrinus (fishing cat) is the source of this 965-nucleotide long non-coding RNA. RefSeq lists it as uncharacterized. The transcript has 3 exons. The record is from RefSeq and is a predicted model, not a curated record. Lineage: Eukaryota; Metazoa; Chordata; Mammalia; Carnivora; Felidae.
AGGAGCUACUGCAUCCGCCGCCGCGCGGCGCUCUGCAAACCCUGAAAGUGCCCGCGGCCGCGCCUGCCGGGUUCCCAGGGCUCCUGCGAGAUCCACACUGAAGAAUGGAUGCUGGGGGCUCGGAAGGUGCGGAAGAGAUGGGAGAUAAGGAUGUGUGGAACAAGGCACCCUACGUGGGACGAGGUGGCCGAGUGGUUAAGGCGAUGGACUGCUAAUCCAUUGUGCUUUGCACGCGUGGGUUCGAAUCCCAUCCUCGUCGGUCGCGUUUUACACGGCGUGAGGGGUGUACUUUUCUGCUUUCCUAUAGGAAAGGGGCCAGAGGUUCAGAGGCACCCAGAAGACCCGAAUUGGAAUUCUGGCUGAUGCCAGACUUGUGACCACUAUGUCAUCUGCAGUAAUUAGGCCCCUCGGGAGGUGCCACCGUAGUGUCCAAAGUAGUGGCAUUUGGAAGUGGCCUAUCUCAGUACUUGCCACAUAGAGCUCCCUCCAAGCGUUUGCUGAUGGCAGCUGGCUGCUUCUGAGGGAAUCUGGGCCUGCUGGCAGAGCCGUGUCCGGCUGGGGAGGUGGCAGUGCCCGGAGGACUGGAAUCAGGAGAGGAAGGAGCAGGUGCAGCCCAUCAGUCCCAGUAUUUGUUUCCAGCAUCGGAAGCCAGCUACAUACUGAUCUAAUGGGCAAGUUGGGCCGGGUCUGCCGGGAAGGAGGAUGGGAAGGUUGUGACAUCAUAAGGACCUCUGAGGGGUGAGUGUCCUCUUUCAGUGCCCUCUUUCUGGGCCUCUUUCUGGGUGUUGGGUUCAACAGACAACGGUCUGUGAAGGUGGCGAAGGAGAAGGGGGUCAGGAAGUGUGUGGUCCUGUCCUGACAUUUCCCAGUCCAAGGGUACGGCUAGACCUGGUGGUCCGUGCUGGUACCUCCAGGACCACAACCACCGUCUGGUGGAUCCAGUCUGUACUCCAGCCCCAGCCUCU